AUCCCGUGAUGGGGACAGGCAGGGACAUACUCUUGCAGAUGCUCCCAAACUUCUGGUAUGGAUUCCUCCUUCAUCUGCUGGAAAUUGGAAAUUCUCCCACGAAGGGC
Molecule: small nucleolar RNA, 107 nt
Filed under: Leersia perrieri
Lineage: Eukaryota; Viridiplantae; Streptophyta; Magnoliopsida; Poales; Poaceae
Description: Plant small nucleolar RNA R71
Rfam family: Plant small nucleolar RNA R71
About the family: R71 is a member of the C/D box family of snoRNAs containing the C (UGAUGA) and D (CUGA) box motifs. Multiple nearly identical copies of this snoRNA have been identified in Arabidopsis, and it is thought to function as a 2'-O-ribose methylation guide for 18S ribosomal RNA.
Source: Rfam by way of RNAcentral